GCUGGGUGUGGUGGUGCGCACCUGUAGUCCUAGCUACUCAGGAGGCUGAGACAGGAGGAUUGCUUGAGCCCAGGAGAUCAAGGCUGCAGUGAGCUAUGAUCAUGCCACUGCCUUCCAGCCUGGGCAACAGAGCAAGACCCCAUCUCUA
This 148-nucleotide signal recognition particle RNA is filed under the name Nomascus leucogenys (northern white-cheeked gibbon). RNAcentral's name for it is "Metazoan signal recognition particle RNA". It matches the Rfam family "Metazoan signal recognition particle RNA". Rfam says of the family: The signal recognition particle (SRP) is a universally conserved ribonucleoprotein. It is involved in the co-translational targeting of proteins to membranes. Lineage: Eukaryota; Metazoa; Chordata; Mammalia; Primates; Hylobatidae. The record is from Rfam by way of RNAcentral.